CAAGUUCGAUUUGCCUCCCACUGUCUCCUUGGCUUAUGAGUUCUCGCUCUCGGAAAACUCCUCUCCUCGCAACGAAGACAACAUUGUCCUUCGGUCUAUAGAAGAGAUAUCCAAAGGAUGUCUGCGGGUAGCCGAUGAAAAUACAUCGCUCACUUCGAGGUUCAAGCUUGUCGUGAGUAUCUCGUCUUACGAAAGCCUCGCAACCCCAAACCUUGAUAUGUGCCAACGAGGGAGCUUUCCCUGUCCACAUCUCGUGAGGUGUUUUGGCAACCUUCUUAGUAGGGACUCGGUUAAGGAUAUGGGCGGCAGUCUCUAAGGCAUACCCCCAAAAAGAGAUAGGUAGUGAAGCACGACUCAUCAUAGAGCGAACCAUAUCCAAUAAGGUUCGAUUACGCCUUUCUGCCACACCAUUCAACUGCGGUGUCCUAGGAGGCGUCAAUUGUGAAACUAUUCCACACUCCUUGAGAUAAUCGUGGAAUUCAAGACUUAGGUACUCUCCUCCUCGAUCGGAUCGAAGCAUCUUGAUUUUCCUGCCCAAUUGAUUCUCCACUUCAUUCUUGAACUCUUUGAACUUUUCAAAAGUUUCUGACUUUUGCUUGAUUAAGUAGAUAUACCCAUAUCUACUAUAGUCAUCGGUAAAAGUCACGUAGAAGCGGUUCCCAUCCUUCGUGGUUGAUCUAAACGGUCCACAUACAUCGGUAUGUAUUAGGUCCAAUAGACCCUCACCCCUUUCACACGUACUCGUGAAGGGUGACUUAGUCAUCUUUCCAAGUAAACAAGACUCGCAUGUGUCAUCUUCCCUAAGGUCGAAUGACUCCAACACUCCAUCCUUUUGGAGUUGGGCUAUGCGUUUCUUGUUGACAUGUCCAAGGCGACAAUGCCACAAGGAUGCCUUAUCCAUACUAUUGGAAGAAUCUAUAUUCAAAACAUCAUUUCCUAAGUUAUCAACAAUCAUAACAGUUUCAUAAAUUCCAUUACAUGGUAUAGCUUCAAAAUAAAAGACACCAUUUAGAUAAGCCAAAAUAGAACCAUUCUCAUUAUUAAAAGAAAAUCUAAAACCUUGUCUAAACAAACCAUGAAAUGAAAUGAUGUUUCUAGCCAUUUCUGGCGAAUAGCAACAAUUGUUCAAAUCUAAACUUAAACCAUUCCUAAGCACUAAAGAAUACACUCCAAUCUUGGUCACAAGCGACGAUUUUUUUUCCCCCAUGAUUAGAUUUAUUCUUCCAGCCUCCACAUCCCUAUUUCUUCUUAGUCCCUGCACAUUAGAACAAAUGUGGUAUCCACAACCGGUAUCAAGAACCCAAGAAAUAGCAUGAGAUGAAUCGUUAGCUUUGAUUGUGUAUAUACCUACGAAAGACGGCUUGAUCUUUCCUUCCUUGAUGGCUUGCAGGUACGCUGGGUAGCUUCUCUUCCAAUGUCCUAUCUUGUGGCAGUGGUGGCACUCUGCCUCCUUUGGGUUAGGGCAGGGUUUAGCAGGAUCAACUUUGGUCCCACUAGAAGAGGCACCAUCUCGGGCUUUAACCUUGCGAUAGUUCUUAGACGAAGCCUUCCUCUUCUUUCCCUUUCCUUGUCCAAUAGCCAAGACAGGAGCAGCGGUUGGGUUGGGAGUUGGUGCAACAGACUUGUCCUUGAAGUUGCUCUCAGCGACCCUCAAGAGACCUUGGAGUUUGCUUAGGGUGACCUCCUCUUUGUUCAUGUGGUAGGUCAUCCUAAAUUGAUUGUAGCUUGGAGGCAAAGAGUGAAGCACCAUGUCGAUCGCCAAGUCUUCCCCAAAGUCAACAUUCAACUUGCGAAGACGGUCGACAUACCUUUGCAUCUUUUGCAGGUGCAUGGUAAGAGACUCUCCAUGAUCCAUCUUAGCGGAAAUCAUGUUAAUGAUAAUCUCAUAACGCUAUUGUCUCUCAUUUUUGUGGUAUCUUUCCAAUAAGUCUUGAUGCAUCUCGUACGGGUACAUGUCCGCUUCACUUUUGUUGCGGAGCUCACUGCUUUUGGAGUAGUGCUUGCAGCUUGCUGCUUUCUGUUCAAGCGGAGCUCGCUGUCUACUCCACGAGUCGCCACAGCUUCGCCUACGCCACUUGUAUAUAGACAACAAUAGCGCCCAAGAUUUCCCCUUCGCGUAGUUNCACAAUCAUGAAAAGCACCUGAACCGAGACCUAGUGGCUAUCAUGAUGCAAUGUACUUUCAUUGCAUCUCGCUCGUGAGUUUCAAAAGCGGUCAUUUCAGCCGGAGUAGCGAUUUCAGGGUUGAUUUUCUUGAGCUUCUCAUCGAGUACAUACUCCUUAUCCUCAUAGCGAGAAAUAGUGCGAAUGUAUCUUAUCCAUUUGCUAAAGUUCGUCCCAUCGAAGGUGACCUUUUGACAAAGGCUCAUCAAUGUGAAAGAACUAGCAGCAACGUUGUCUGUGUUCGACAUCUACAAAUAGAAAGGAAAAAGAUAGAUUAGAAUAUGAAUCCCUAAUUAUCACCCAAUAAAAAAAAUUAGGGCUAGGAUCCAACAACAAUAUUUACAUAUUAGAAAAGGGAUGCCGUAAUCUAACAUGCAAACAAUUUGAAGGUAAGUGAAUGACGAUUCACUAAUUCUCCACCAUGAAAACCUAACUUUAAGUUCUAAAUGAAUUUGAGAAUUCCUAGGUUUAGAUGAGAUUCAUUGAAACUUUUCAAUGGCAUGUUUAAAUCUCGAUAUGCCCCUCUUGUUUGUGACUGGGAUACCGAGGAUCACAAAGCGGGUGUGAAUUACCAUGCAAAUUCACAUGGUGCCUUCAUUGUAACGAUCACCUAUUCGAUGUGCCGGUAAACCACACACGCUCCAUCGAACUAUGAUAAACAAUGAAUCACCCUUUGCCACCUUUGCUUAGAACCAAUUAGUGUGCCGGUAAACCACACACGCUCCACUAACUUCUUAGCAAGGGUGCAAAGUGUAAUUUCAUGGGAUUGCAUCAAUUCACUUUUCCUAAAGUAACUAAGAUUGGGAAAUUUUANNNNNNNNNNNNNNNNNNNNNNNNNNNNNNNNNNNNNNNNNNNNNNNNNNNNNNNNNNNNNNNNNNNNNNNNNNNNNNNNNNNNNNNNNNNNNNNNNNNNNNNNNNNNNNNNNNNNNNNNNNNNNNNNNNNNNNNNNNNNNNNNNNNNNNNNNNNNNNNNNNNNNNNNNNNNNNNNNNNNNNNNNNNNNNNNNNNNNNNNNNNNNNNNNNNNNNNNNNNNNNNNNNNNNNNNNNNNNNNNNNNNNNNNNNNNNNNNNNNNNNNNNNNNNNNNNNNNNNNNNNNNNNNNNNNNNNNNNNNNNNNNNNNNNNNNNNNNNNNNNNNNNNNNNNNNNNNNNNNNNNNNNNNNNNNNNNNNNNNNNNNNNNNNNNNNNNNNNNNNNNNNNNNNNNNNNNNNNNNNNNNNNNNNNNNNNNNNNNNNNNNNNNNNNNNNNNNNNNNNNNNNNNNNNNNNNNNNNNNNNNNNNNNNNNNNNNNNNNNNNNNNNNNNNNNNNNNNNNNNNNNNNNNNNNNNNNNNNNNNNNNNNNNNNNNNNNNNNNNNNNNNNNNNNNNNNNNNNNNNNNNNNNNNNNNNNNNNNNNNNNNNNNNNNNNNNNNNNNNNNNNNNNNNNNNNNNNNNNNNNNNNNNNNNNNNNNNNNNNNNNNNNNNNNNNNNNNNNNNNNNNNNNNNNNNNNNNNNNNNNNNNNNNNNNNNNNNNNNNNNNNNNNNNNNNNNNNNNNNNNNNNNNNNNNNNNNNNNNNNNNNNNNNNNNNNNNNNNNNNNNNNNNNNNNNNNNNNNNNNNNNNNNNNNNNNNNNNNNNNNNNNNNNNNNNNNNNNNNNNNNNNNNNNNNNNNNNNNNNNNNNNNNNNNNNNNNNNNNNNNNNNNNNNNNNNNNNNNNNNNNNNNNNNNNNNNNNNNNNNNNNNNNNNNNNNNNNNNNNNNNNNNNNNNNNNNNNNNNNNNNNNNNNNNNNNNNNNNNNNNNNNNNNNNNNNNNNNNNNNNNNNNNNNNNNNNNNNNNNNNNNNNNNNNNNNNNNNNNNNNNNNNNNNNNNNNNNNNNNNNNNNNNNNNNNNNNNNNNNNNNNNNNNNNNNNNNNUUUGAUCUUGUUGUCUUGGAGCUCUAGAGUCACAAUUGUCACUCCUCUAAUGGCUUACAAACACCAACUAGCAAGGAGGAUGAUUUGAGAGAGAGGAGAGGGAUUAGAAAUCGGCCAGGGUUUCUUUGCUUUAGCAGAGGUGCCGAUUUCCCUUGCCCUAGGGGUCUAUUUAUACUUGUAAGGCUCCUAGGGGUUCACCCUUAAACCCCAGUUGGAUAAUCUUUCCUUAAAGCAAUCCUUUCCAAAGAUAAGCCUUGGAUGAAUUUGAGGCUAUCCCAAGCCCUAGAAUUCGUCCAACCUCUAUCCAAGAAGGAUUUACAGCCCAAAGUGUAACUGUCAAACAAUUGACAGUUUAUACCCUCUUAUUUAAUUAAUCUCUUUAAGUCACCAAAUUAAUACUAAUUAAUUCAUGACUUAUAUUAAUCAAAUAACAAUAUUAUUAUUUCUUAUAUUAUUCUCAUAAUAUAUUAAUAAUAUUUAUUCUCUCAUAAUAAAUCAUCCUAUCAAGUUGCUAUGGUGAAGGCAACCCAAAAGGACCAUGCAUAAUCGGGUCAAAUACUUGCCUAAUAUAGUUGCAACCUUAGACACUAUUCCAACAAUGUGUCCAAGCCAAGUGUAGAAAUCUAAACUCAUGAGAAAGAGGUUAUUAACUCUUUAAACCUUAUAGGGCAUUAAGUACCCUUAGUAGGAGGAACGAUGAUCAGUGUUUAUUCCUAAAGGCUAUGAUCCUUGAACUUUUGCAAAUUGCAAAUGUUAGCUUGAGGUGGGUGUUAGCCUAGCUAGUUCCCCUCAGAUGCUUAAAUCAGUAAUGGUCUUUUUUUAGAGCAAAUAAAAGAAUUUAGAUAAAAGUAAAGGGUAAAGAAUUUGUACCUUGAAUCUUGUUGGAAAAAGAAAAUUUUAACUUACUUGGAAUACACUUUCAGGUGUUUGGCAUUCUAGGAUCUUGGCAAGACAUCUCCUUCUAGGUUAGCCGACCAAUAUGCCUCUUUUCCUUCUUUUCAAUCGAUAAGAUAUGGAUAAUCCCAUUUGGGUGCAAACUUGCCUACAUUAGGAUCCUUGGUAUUUUGGAAUGAUUUCCUAAGGACCAAGUCACCUACUUGGAGUCUUCUAAAUUUGAUAUUUUGUUUGUGCUUUGGCAAUCCUUUGUUUAUGAGCAACAAUACGGAUCCUGGAAAGAUCCUUGAGUUCAUCGAUAGUGUCGAGAUCCCGGGGUAAGAUCUCAUUGUUCUUCUCCUGAUUUUGGAAUUGGUAUCUGGCCAUUGGGACUACCACUUCGGUUGGGAUCAUGAUCUUUGUUCCAAACACCAAGGAGUAUGGAGUUUGACGUUUGGUUGUUUUUGUAGUCCUAUCCGCCCAUAAGACGAAAGGAGGUUCUUCAGCCCAUCUUCCUUUCUUUUCAUCUAGCAUUUUCUUCAAAUUUUUUACUAUGAUAUUGUUGCUAGAUUCUGCUUGACCAUUAGCUUGAGGGUGAAAAGGAGUAGACUUUAUCAUUUUAAUUUCCCAACUGUUGCAAAAGUCUUAAGUCCUUUUGCUUAUGAGUUGGGUUCAUUACCGCAUAUGGUUUUAGCAGGGAUCCCAAACUUGGUUAGGACGUUGUGUUUAAUGAAUAAGACUACUUCCUUGUCUCUUACUUGAACACGGGCUUCAGCUUCUAUAUAUUUUGAGAAGUAGUCUCUCAUCACUUGCAUGAAGACCUUUCGGCCAGGAGCCUUUGGUAACUUGCCAACCAUAUCCAUUCCCUAUUUUAUGAAUGGUCAGGAGGAGAUGAAAGGUGUAGAGGUUCCGCCGGUUGAUGAAGGAUGUUGCUAUGUCUCUGAAAAGCAUCAUAUUUUUGUGCGUGUAAGAAGGCAUUAUUUUUCAUUGUUGGCUAAUAGUACCCCACCCAUAGUAUUUUGGAGCAUAAGGAUUUGCCCCCAAUGUGAUUGCAAUAAUCUCUUCUGUGUAUGUCCUUUAGAACUUCUGUAGCUUCAUGAUCUUCUAAACAUCUUUGGUAUGGCUCUACCAUGGAUUUCUUGUAUAACUUCGCUUGGAUCAUCUCAAAGCGUGAUGCCCUCAUCUUGAAUGCUUUGUCGCUUCUUUCCUCUUUUGGGAUCUUUCCAUUUCAAAGGUAUUCUAUAACUGGGUUGAUCCAGGAUCUUGGAGGAUCCUGAUUAUUUGGAUCAAGAUGCUAAUUGUUGUGAUCCUGGUGAGUGGGUUGAGGACUAUGAUCAUCAAUUGUUGCAAUCUUGGUUGUCUGACCGCGGUCAUCCGGAUCUUCUGAUUUUUAGUGGGAUCCUCAGUUGAUGGGAUUGUCACAUAGAUUAUCGGGAUCCUAGCCUCUAGUGGGAUCCUAAGGGAAGAUCCUAGAUUGGCUAAUGCAUCUGCUUCGAGAUUAUCUUCCCUGAGAAAUUGGUUUAGGCUAAAAGUUUGAAAUUUGAUGGCUAAUUUUUUAAAAAUUUGAAGGUAUGAUGCUAGCCUUUUGCCUUUAACUGCAUAGGAUCCAUUAAAGUGGUUAGUUAUUAAUAAUGAAUCGAUGUAUACCUAAAGAUCCUUGACUUAAAUAUCCAUGGCUAGUUGCAGUCCCAUGAUUAGUGCUUCAUAUUUUUCUUCAUUUUUAGUUCCGUCAAAUUCACAGAUAAUAGCAUGGGGUAGUAUGUCCCCCCUACGACGAUUUUAGUAUGAUCCCAAGGCCAGUUCCUCUUUGUUUGGAUGCUCCAUCCUUGAAGAGUGACCAUCUUCCCAUGUUUUCUUCGUGUAGAAGUUUAUUGUGGAUCUUGUUUGCUAGUGCUUGUGACUUUAUUGUGGAUCACUAAAAUCAGCCAUAAAGUCUGCUAGUGCUUGUGACUUUAUUGUGGAUCUUGUUUCUUAAUUUUUGUCAUAUGUAUUGAGCUUCACGGACCACUUAGCCAUAUAACGCCUAGGUUUUCACUCCAGUUACACUCCAUGAAUAAACUUUUUAUAAAAUAACUUUUUAAAUAUUUUGGUGUACACUGGUACUCUGGAGCACAAGAAGCUAUCACCAGGGAUCGUACUGGCCAUAAGUAUAGGAUCUGAGUCGGGCACUACCACUUAUAACCUGCAAAACAAUCACAAACAAAUAUAGUAAGCCUCAUGGCUUAGUGAGUAACAACUAUAAUAACAUAAAUCUCAUAACCAAACAAAUAACACACAAUUCAACAUAAUAUUGUCAUCACAUCUAUAACUUAAAAUCAUGAAUAUCAAUUAAGAGAUCUAACAUAUUAUCAACAUAAUUUCAUAGGUAAACAAUAAAUUGUCACCCAUCAAUAACAAUAAAUUUCAUCUCAUCAGCAAGUAACACACCAACAAAUAACAUUGUGUCAUCUCGUGAUACAUCAACGAAUAACAACGAUGUCGGCCCGUGACACAUCAAUGGAUAAAAAUGGUGUCAACCCGUGACACAUCAAUAAAUAACAACAGUGUCAGCCCGUAAAACAUCAAUGAAUAACAAUGGUGUUAGCCCGUAACAUAUCAAUGACUAACAAUGGUGUCAGCAUGUGCCGUAUAAACGAAUAACACAGUUUCAAUAUGUGACACAUCAACAACACCAUUUUCUCAUUUGAUUCACCUACAAUUACAAAUAUACCAUCUUGUGGUACAUAUAUAUCCCUAAAACAUCAUAAUAUCAACAAUAUGAUACUCAAUCAUUCAAACAACAAUAUAACUCAUUUAUUGUAACACACAAUUAUCACAAACAACAGGUGUUAGAGUAGUGUUACUUACCUGGUUAAUUGGAAGACAUGUCAACUUUAGUCCUUGCCAUACUCUGCUUUCCAGUUCGUCACAUGGCAAUACUUAACCAACAAUUAUCAAGUUCCUCAGAACUUUCCAUAACUUACUAUUAACUAUACUUCAUGACUAUUUGUCACCAAACCCAUUAACACAAUAAUAUAACCACAAUAAGCUUAAUUCGUAAGCAGUUAACCAAACCUAUCACAUCGGGCAACUCUAGUACAUUAGGUUUUACAACCCUCACAGUCUUGACUAACUAUCUUACCGUAAUAUUUAUUUACACAUCUUACCAAUAGGUUCGUAAUAGCACCAUAUCAUGAACACUCAUAACAUAUACUUGGGUAUAACAAUUCCUGAAAACUAUCAUAUAUAAUAAUUACACAAUAAAAGGGUAAAGGAUACCUCCAUAAUCAUGUAAAUCAGCUCGUAUCUCAUGUAUAUCGGUAUAAAUCCACCGGUAUAAUGUCUUGUAAACGACUCACAGGCAAUAUCUCUGCUCAAAUGUGUCAAAAUCCUCCAAAUAACACCAAAAGUGCACAUAUUUAUAAUAUGUGUUGGUCACAUCGUGACUAUAUAGGUUUCAUGUCGUGUCCACCUGUUGAACCCCGUUCUAGCCACGUGUCGCACUCUUGAUCCACGUAUCUUGUCGACUUGUCGCAUUUCAUGUUGUGACACACCUAUUGUCACGUCAUGAUAAACAUAAUUUCACAUCGUGAUGGUCAAAAGUUGACCCUUGACUUUGACUUUCCCAAAAUAACAACCUACUUUCAUCUCAACUUCAAACAACCAUAACCUUCUCUUACGGAACAAACUUUAUAUCCACGAAAUCCUCAUCACACGAACUACAACAAUUGUCAAAUAUCUUUUGUUAAAUAACCUUUCUCAAAUUGAAGCCACUCAAGGAUUUAUCUCAUCUGUUCAUCUCAUAACAAUCUAUAUCUCUUAGGAUAGUGCCUGUUUUAGAAAAUAGCUAUUACAAGUUCUUCCCUCCUUUAAGUGAUUCCAUCCCCGGAAUUUCCUGGAAUCGCACACUACAAUUUAGGAGUUUCACUAACUCAUAGUAUUCAAAAGAAGGACUAUCUAGCCACAUCAUUCAGUUCAAUUUGCCUGAGAUCAUUAAUAAUUUUCUCGGUUCUCACAAUGAAUCAACAUUACUUGUGAGGAGUCUAUAAUGCAGAAGAUCACAUACAAGGAGGAUAGAAAAACAUAAACUACGCUUAGAUAUCUGCACUUAGUCAUAACUUUUCUAUAAUUUCCAUUCUAUUUACAACAAGUAGUACUCACUUACUACGUAUUUAGAAGCGACUAUCUCUUUAGCCCUUUGUGACUAUCACCUGGUACUUGAGUGACGACUCAUCCUCAAGUCACGAGUAUAUCACCAAAAUUAAUGAAAAUAUACUCAUAAUCACUUGAUUGGGUAUAUCACUAGUAGUUCACUUAAUUAUUUACCACCGAAUAUCAUCUUGGUGUACACAAUAUUUCCAUAUGUCAACAGAUAUAUCAACUUAUACACCACAAAUUCUCGAAUUUCAUAACAUCCACUAUUGUUCUCAACACCAAUAAAUGUGGAUCAAAUACUUAGUAAGUUCUUCACAUUAGUAUCAACAAAACACUCAAUAGGUCGAACAAACACUUGUUUCUAAACAACCUCAUAGUAAGAAAUAUCGACUAGACACUCAAUAAUUUGCACAAUUAGGUAUUGACUAGACCCUCAGCAGGUCAUACAAUUAUAUAUUAACUAGACACUCCACAAGUCGCAAAAUUAGGUAUCGAAUAGACACUCAGUAGGUUGUACCAUUACAUAUUGACUAGACACAUAGCAAGUCGCACAAUUUGGUAUCGAAUAGACACUUAGAAAGUCGUACCAUUACAUAUUGAUUAGACACUAAGCAAGUCGCACAAUUAGAUAUCGACUAUACGCUCAACAGUCCGUACCAUUGUAAAUCACAUUCCAGCAUAACAUUUGCUUUCUAUGAUCAAAUACAACAUUUGAGUCACAAUUCAAUAAUCACUACAAGGGUGUCAUCUUGUUUUCACUCUAAUGAUUUUGUUAUUAUAUUGUCAACCUGUGACAUCAAGUAAUCAUUAUGCCAACAUAUAAUGUAUCAUGCCAAUAUGUGACACUAUUAACUCGUAUCGUGUCAACCUGUGACACUAUUAACUCAUAUGGUCAACCUGUGACAUCCCCACACAUACCGUAUAAACUUGUGAUACCAUCAACGAUAUGAUGUAAACAUGUGACACCAUAAUAAGGAAAAUGUCAGAUUGUGAGAUUUCAAAUAGAAUCCAACACUCUUCACUAAUCAUAUUACUCACAUUCUAUUACUUUUACUGGAAUUACUAUUUUUGUUGAGUCUGUGGGUUGCAUCAUUGGGCUUAAUAGCUUAGUCCAAUUGUAUCACAGUUUGGGCCUGUCCAUCCGUGCUUUUGAUAUUAGGGUUUAGUAUUUAUGGUGCAUGCAUGCAUCGUCUUUUGUACGCUUUAUAAUUAUUAUCUCUUUCGUUGAACUGUAACCUUAGCACACCUCUACAGUAAAAGUUCUUAGUCUAGCUCUUCUGAGGUGUUGCAGUUUUAAUCAUUCAACACUUGUUUGAUUCAUCGUGUGUUCAUACUAUUGUUUACUUUCUGAUUUACUUGUUAAGAAUCUAAACGGUCUUAAUAAAGUUUUCAACUCAGCAAUUAGUAUCAGAGCGGGAGACUGUGUAAUCCAUACGCAUCUCUUCUGUUGAAGAAAGUUUUAGGGUUUCCGCUAUAAUCGUUUUUGCUAGAGCCAUCAUCUUGUUAUUGAAGUUGCUCUUAGAUCUCGAUCUUACCCUAACUUAGUUUACUAGUUUGAUUCUUCGCAGGUUAUCAAACCGAAUCAUCACAUCACACGACGACUCUCAAUCAAACCCCAUCAAUAUAUCCAACAGUAUCAGAUCUACCACGAGAAUCCCGAUUUAAUACACUCAUUAUUAUGAAGUCUGGACACAUCACUUUGAGGACUAUGUUCUUGGUUCAUAGCAAAAUAGGUAUCUAAUCUGGGAAGCAAUCACUGUGGGUCCGUUUUCUCGUUAUGGAACGAUCAAAAUCAUCAAGACGCAAAAGGAAUACAAUUAGCUUAUGAUUGACAUAGAAAAGGUUCCUCAAGACGAGAAGGACAAACUGAUGAGCAACAUCAAAGCCAUGAGGAUGAUCAGAUUUGCUUUACAAUCUGAUACGUUUUGUAUGGUCAGCACAUGCACAACAACAAAACAGAUAUAGGAUAGGCUUAAGGCGCUAUAUUCUACAGAUGAGGAUUUAGAGCAUUAAAUACAAACCCUUUUGCUCUUUGAGUUCGGUGACUUCAAGCGGAAGCCAGAAGAAAAACUCAUUCAAGCGUUUGAUAGUUUCAAUCAUCUCCUCAACCAGAUUAUCAAACAUGGAAUUUCCAGAGAGGUAAUUGAGCAGAAGGUUACUUUUAUGAAUGGCCUGAGACCCGAAUGGAUGCCGGUGGUUUCAACUGUAAAAGCUCAUGAAUAGUUCAAAACCUAUUCGUUGGCAAAGCUUGUGGGAAUACUUAAAUCACACGAAAGUGUUGUGAUCAUGGAACCGAAUGUGGUUUCUAGUAUGGGAUCGUUAGCCCUUCUCUCAAAGGGAAAAAGCAUGGACGAAGAAUAAGAAGAGUUGGAUCUUUCUGAAUGUGAUCUGACAAACGAAAAAUAUGCAUUGAUGGUCUCUAAUCCCAAGAAGUUUGCUCGCAAAAAGUUCCCUACCUCCAAGAACUGAAACCGGCAAGGGAGCUAUAGUUCAGAAAAAGCAAAAUAGGAGAUUAAGAAUGCUCCUCGGCAAGAAGAAACGAAGAAGGAGAGCAAGCUUGUAGGUGACUCUGGAUAUGAUUGCAAUUUUUUUCAUGGCAAAAAUCACUUUGCCAAAGAUUGUAUGUUGAGAAUCCUGUCCGAGAAGAAGGAUGGAGAAGAUGAUGAAGCGUAUCACUUGUGCAAAUUGGAAGAAAUAAAGAAGAACAAAACCACUAACAAUUCUAUGAAUGCUUUAAUUUUGUAGGAAAACAUUGUUGAUGAUGAGUUUAGAGGUGUAGAAUUCUGGUCUACAGACUCCGAAGAUGAAGAAGUUCGCAAGCCCACGCAUGGUAGGGCUUUUGUGGCGAAGGAAGAUAACUUUGAGUUUGCUGGAAGAUGUUUGAUGGUGACUAUUGGAGUGUCAUGAAUGAGAGCCUACAAAAUCAAGGGCGAAAGUGAGGAGGUGAAGGAAAGAGAAGACAAGUGCUUCACUGCCAAACCGAUGGGUGAGCAGACCAACGACUGCGAUCAGUUGAUCAAGAAGGUACAAUCCAUUCUCGAAUCACUAAAAAUACCUGUCACGAACUAUGAAAAGUAAUUAAAUGAACUAAAAUUCAAGUUUUCUAGUUUAAGUGGUAGUCUAAAACAUAAUCGCCUAGCAAAUUCUAACCUAACUGAUAAACUCAGCAGGGUGUCUUCCAUGAGUGAGGAGAGAAGGAUGUGGAUAGAGACGAAGGAAGUGGAGUUAGUUAGGAUGAAAGAUGAAGUAAUUUAUUUGCAACAUAAUUUGAAGCUUUUGAAAUAAAGAUACAUUUUUUGCUUGAUUGCUAAACAUUUAUAUACUAAUAUCACCCAAAUGCAUUUAGAUUGUGAGAUUGGUAAAAAGAUUCAUAAAAUGAUUUUUCCCUUCUUGGAACUAAAGGAGGACAAAGUCGAUAUUGAUGGUUAUAACUGUGAAUCUAUUGUUUCUUCAAAUGAAAAUUUUGAUGCUUACAAGAUCGGUCUGGACAAAAUCGAGUCCUUUAUUAAGUCCAAAGACCAUAAGGAUAUGCUUAAUAAUCUCUUGGACGAAAACGAUAAAUUGAAAAUCAAGACCGAAACCAUGUAGAAAUUUGACUCAUUGAAUGCCAGGUUGAGUUCAGAAAACAAGAUAAAUGUGGAAAACACUUCUGAAUUUGACAAGGACAGUGAUAUUAGCGAAAUAUCUGUAGAGGAUGAAGUUGACUGUUUAGAAUUUGUCAAAAGCGAAACCGAACCUACCAAAGGUCUUAUAUCUAAAAAUUCGGUUGAGUUCGCUCGGAUGUCCCAAGAUAAAUCCAAAGUUCUGAAACAGAAGGUUGUGGUAUAUCAAAAGAUACAAGCUGUACUAAAUCAGGUAUACACCAUAACAGGAGUUACUCAGGAACAAACAGCCAAACUUACAGCCUUGGUAAACAAAGACAACGCUAGUGGCUGUGAUGACCAUUUUUGGUCUGCCCCAAUUGACAAUGCAGAUGAGACUGUCAGUUUAUCAAAGAGAACGUCAUGGAGAGUUAAAGGCAGAUAUGUGGUAGAACCACUCAAUAAGCCUACAAGCUUUGAUGCACCAAGCACAAGUGGUACUAAAGAGAUUCCAAGCAAACUUGCGAAGGUGGCAAGCAAAACCUCUUCAUUGAAGAGUGAAACUCAUGCUAAGAGACCGAUGCCGAGAGUAAACAUUCACAAGUCUCAAAAGCAACUUGCUGAACAAAAACUCCAACGAAAAAGGAGAUAUCAAAAGAAUCUCAAUGAAAGGAAGCAGUUUCUGAAAUCCAAAAACUCUAACUAUGUUCGCACAGAAAAGGCGUCCAAUCUCAAAGAGAAAGCAAGAUCAAAGGCUAACUCUAGUCUAUGCAUUCACUGCCAAUCUUGCAGUCAGACAAACAAAAGAAGUAGUUUCAGUCCCAAAGUGAGCAGUGACAAGAACAUAAAUACCAGCUUCGGUCCUAAAUCCCAUCCUCCUUAUUCCUAACUAAAGAAAAAUCCUAACGAGGAUGUCAAGGGAAAAGGAAAGCUCGUCUCAAAAGGCAAAAAGCAAAUGAAGAAGACAUCCGCUAACCCUAGGAAACAAGAAAACAAGUUUGUUAAGAAUCAAAAUAAAAUUCCACAACCCGAUUCAAACAAACCAAAAGAUAAUAAAAUUAAGGUUUUCACCAUCAAAAAGAAAGACGAAACCACUUUAAUAAAAAGAACAUAUAUGGUUGGUCUGACCAUUACUAUUCCCUAUUCUGUAAAAGGCUCACGUGGACCCAAGCAACUUUAGGUUCCUAAAUCUGCUUGAUUUUUGCAGUUCGACGAUGAAUGGUAUAUCGAUAGUGGUUGCUCACGUCACAUGACAGGGAGACGGGAAGAGCCAAGGGAGUUUCAGGCUCUAAAAGAUGGUGGAUGUGUCAAAUAUGGUAACAACUUGUAUCGCACAAUAAAAGGCUAUGGCAUGAUCACGAACGAAGAUUUUUCGAUUCAAAAGGUGGCAUAUGUGGAAGGAUUGCAACACAAUAUCAUAAGUGUCUCGCAAUUGGUUGUAGGGACUGGCUUGAAGGUCUCAUAUGAUGAUGAAGGAUCCGAGAUCAUUGAAAAGAAAACAAUGUCAGUUCUGUUGAAGUCCCAUCACAAAGACGAAAUGUAUCCAUUAAAUCUGAAUCCGAUACGAGGGAAGCCUGUUGUAAGUCUUUUAAUGAAAGCUCAUUCCGAUGAAAGUUGGCUGGGGCAUCGACGACUCUUGCACCUUAACUUCAAAGACAUUAACAAGCUAGUUCUUGGUGAUCAUGUGCAAGGUCUGCCACUUCUAAAGUUUGACAAGGAACAUUUGUGUGCUGCAUGCGAAAUGGGAAAGCAAAGCCGGAAGAGUCAUCCCACACGUAUUAACACGAAGAUCAUCGAACCUCGUUAGCUUUUACAUAUAGAUCUAUGCGGUCCAUCGGCCGUAGAAAGUAUCGGUGGUAGUAAGUACAUUCUUGUAAUAGUUAAUGAUUUUUCACGUUUCACCUGGGUUUUCUUUCUUAAACACAAAUAAGAGGUGACUCCAAAGCUCAAAAACUUUAUAAAGAAAGUGGAGCUUCAAUUGAGAAAGGUGGUUAGAAAUGUCUGAAGUGAAAAUGGGUUGGAAUUCAAAAACCAAGAGUUUGAAGAAUUUCUUAUUGAAAAGGGAGCUUCUCUGCUCCCUAUACUACACAACAAAAUGGUGUAGUUGAAAGACAAAACCGUUCGUUGUGUGAAGCCGUCCGAACAAUGCUUAGCUUCGCUUCUCUACCUCUGUACUUCUAGGCUGAUGCAAUUGCAUCUGCCUGCUAUAACUAGAACCGAUCCUUCCUCAAUAAGCGAUUUUUCAUCACACCAUAUGAAAUUCUAAAUAAUCACAAGCCUAAUGUUAAGUUUUUCCAUGUUUUCAGUUCUAGGUGUUUUAUCUUUAAUUCUAAAGAGAAUCAAAGCAAGUUUGAUGUGAAGGCAGACGAAGGGAUCUUUUUUGGCUACUCUCUUACCUCCAAGGCAUAUAGGGUUCUGAAUAAAAUAUCAAAGAAGAUCGAAGAAACCUAUUAUGUCACUUUUGAUGACAAUUACGUGAAGAAACUUCAAUCCAGCGAAAGUCCAAUGGAGGAAAUCUUUCCACAAACAGGUCACGUCACGACUCCUAUAUCAAAUCUGUUUGAAGAGUACAUGCUGCUUUUUGAUGAACCAGAGAAUGCAAUUCUCUCUAAAGUGAAGGAAUGAUAACAAAGUUGACAACAUGAAAAAGAUAAUCAACAAAGCUGCAAAAGCUAUCAAAAGCGAACCUCAUGAUCCUCGUGAAUCUUAAGAUCCAAGCGAACCCUAAGGUCCAAGCGAACCUCAAGGUCCAAACGAACCUUAAGGUCCAAGCGAACCGACAAAUGACCGCAUCACAUUCCAGGGGGAUAGAUCAUCUACACCGAAACGACCUGAUUUGCCAUUCUAGGGGGAGAACCCAUCUCCAACAAAGAACCAUGAAAGUCCAAUCGAGGGGGAGAAUUAUGAACCUGAUGUUGAAAUUGUUUCACCAUUCGAGGGGGAGAAUGGUAAUACAAAUGAUGACGACACUCAAUCAGAAUUUGAAGAAGAAAUAAAUGUUGAAUUGGAUCCCGCUUACGAUCCGAAUUACCCUCCACUCGUAAAAUGGGCACGUGAUCAUCCAAAGACUCAAGUAAUUGGCGAAUCAUCUGAGGGAGUUCUUACACGCUCUCAACUUAAAGUGAAACAAACUGCUUUAUUCUCUCAAGUAGAAUUUUGUUUGUCUAAUUCGUUUGUUUCCAAGAUUGAGCUGAAAACAGUCAAUUCUGCACUUGAUCACUCUGAUUGGGUACAGGCUAUGCAAGACAAUCUAAAUGAGUUCGAGCGAAACCGAGUUUGGAGACUGAUUCCCACACCAAAGGAUGCAUAUGUGGUUGUUUUAGAAUGGGUAUUCUGGAACAAGAUGGACAAAGAAGGGAACGUGAUAUGCAACAAGGCAAGGCUAGUAGUUAAGGGAUAUUGUCUAGAAGAAGGUAUAGAUUACGAAGAAACCUUUGCUCCUAUAGCAAGGUUAGAAUCAGUUCGGAUCUUUUUGGCAUAUGCUGCUCACAAGAAUUUCAAAGUCUUUCAAAUGGACGUCAAGUGUGCGUUUUUGAAUGGAGAACUAGAAGAGACUGUGUUCGUUGAGUAACCACCUGGAUUUGUGAACGAGAAGUAUCCUAAUCCUUGCUACAUUCUAUACAAGACAGUUUACGGUUUGAAGCAAGCCCCGAGAGCCUGGUAUGAAACACAAACUCGUUUUCUAAAAAUGUCUAAAUUCAAACAAGGUUUGGUUGACCCAACCUUCUUUCGCAAGAAACAGGGUGAACACCUAAUGAUCGUCCAAAUUUACGUCGAUGACAUGAUCUUCAGUUCUACGAAUCCUAGCUUGACGACUGAAUUUCGAAAGUUGAUGGAGACUAAGUUUGAUAUGAGCUCAAUGGGUCCAAUUAACUUUUUCCUUGGACUGAACAUAAGACAGGGAACCGAAGGCAUCUUCAUUAAUAAGGAGGCUUACACAAAGACUCUACUGGCUAAGUUUGUUAUAAUGGGAGAGUCUAAAGUAAAGGUUCCAAUGGCAUUCGGAACGAAGCUGACACCAUCUCUGGAGAAACCAGGUGUUGAUAUGACACUCUAUCGUCAAAUGAAAGGGUCCCUAAUGUAUCUAACAGCUAGUAGACCAUAUAUUAUGUUUUCUAUCUACUAUUGUGCCAGGUUCCAAGGUAAUCCAUGAGAACCUCAUAUGGUGGUCGUGAAAAAUAUCUUCAGGUAUUUGAAGCGAACCUCAUCUCUUGGUCUUUGGUACCCGACGAAAUCUAGCUUCUUUGUUCAAGCAUUCUUUGAUGCUGAUCUUGGAGGAUGCGGUUUAGACCGAAAGAGAACAACUGGCGGGUGUCAAUUCCUUGAUGGAAAAAUCGUUAGCUGGCAAUCCAAGAAACAAACGUGUGUGUCUCUUUCUACGGCCGAAGCUGAAUAUAUCGCCGCAGCGUCUUGCACUUCACACGUCAUAUGGAUACAAAGUCAACUUAGAGACUAUGGCCUAAACAUGAAGAAGAUUCCCCUCUAUUGUGACUCAGAAAGCGCUAUUUGGAUAUGUCACAAUCCAACGCAACACUCCAAAACAAAACAUAUAUCACUGAGAUACUACUUCAUCAAGGAUCAUGUUGAAGAUGGUAACGUGGAAAUCCACUUUGUUCGAUCCGUUGAUGAAUCAGCUGACAUUUUCACGAAAGCCUUACAUGAAGUAAGUUUUAAUAAAAUUCUCCAAGGCUUAGGAAUGAUGGAAGCUGAUUCAGUACCGAAACCCUUUUCGCCUCACUAAAAUUGGACAAGCAAAAUAGAGCGAACGCUCGGUCUAUUUCGGUUCGAGAUUUUUUGGGAACCGAAAUGAACCGAACACUCGGUUCAUUUCGCUUCAUCACUCUCAAGGUGAAGUUUCGGUUGUAUACUUUUGUACACUAUGUAUUUCUUUUCUCAAUUAACUUUAUGUCUUUCAUCUCCUUUCAUAAAAUCCAAAAACAUUUUUCUUUUUUUUAUUUCUUUUCAGAAAAUUCAUAAAAUCCAAAAAUAUUUUUCUUUUCUGUUUUUAUGUUUUUAGAAAAUUCAUAAAAUCCAAAAUAUUUUCUUUUCUAUUUUUAUUAUUUUUUAGAAAAAUCAAAAUAAUCAAAAAUAUUUUAUUUUGUGUUUAGUUUUAUUCUUAUUUCUUUUUCACAAAUAAAAUCAAAAUAUAUCUCACUGAAAGGAAUCAUGGACGACUUCCAAUGGAGCUGGGGCAGGUAUAACUCUCUUUAUCUUUUUACCAGCUAAGUGUCCCUAGAAGCAUCCUGAUGUAUGUUGUCCAAAGCCUCAAAGACUUCAAGUGAAGCCUUACUGAUUUGAUAUAUACAAAUCGAUUCUUCCCAACUAGGCUGAUAAAAUCACUUAAGUCACGAGCUACCUGACUCUUCUCAUAUUGAGUUAAGAGUUAAUUGCUUGGUCACUUUCAUAUAGCAGAGGUACUUUCAGUUCUUUAACCAUAUCUACACCUCUCUCCAACAUAUUUCAUUUCAUUCGUGUAACCCUUGAGACUCUCAGCAUUUACCAUUGAGGUUUACGGUUACACAAUAUCUGCGUUAAUGAUCUUAGUUUCGUUUCACCACGUGCUAAGUGAAACCAAAAUCCAACACCUACAAUGAAUUGACGGUGAAGAAUCAAACAUUCUAGUUUUCACCCAAUUAUUACCGAAACCACUUUUGUGGGAGGCACCAAGAAAUCUCUUUUUAUCUUUGAGCGAUCUUUAUGAAAUUGUCUAACACCAAGACUUUUCUACCCAAAAUGAUCCAGUUUAUUUUUGUUUCUGAGAUUUAUGCAGUAUCACCAAGUCAAUAAAAAAGGAUCAAACCUACUUGUUUUACAGGCCACAUUGGUCUCACACGUACUUCAUCCCGCUUUCGGUCUUAUAUUAAGCUCCGUAGUGUGGUUGAAGCAAAAGCCACCUUAAUAACCUUAUAAUUAAAAGAUGCCUUUCAAUGCUUCUUAAUAUGCAUUUGAUCGUAUUUUAACGAGAAACCACACAGACAUUUCUAAGUCUCACUUGACAUUGAAGGAAGAGAUUCGUGCCUGGGAUCCACCGUUUUGUGUCUUAAUUGACAUCACUUAAAUCCCACAAAUAAUUUUCUUUAUUUCUUUUUCUUUGGCACACUCUUGCAUGAAGAUGUUUAUGAUUUUCCACAAGUCUUGAUCGUGGUACCAAUGGCUAUUUCUCAGAUAUACAGUUCGGUUCAAUAUGAUGUGAUGGUACAGUAUGUUUGGAGUGAAGGCUAUUUAAUAUGAAGCGAAAGGGUAACUCAACACUUCAACGGGAACUUGAAUCAUUUCAAAAUUAAAGAAAAGGUGACAGGAUAAGAUUUUGAAAGGUGUGUGAAUUUGAAUCGUUUCCUUUUCUUACGCCGCUUAGCACGCUUGACACACUUUUCAGGGUAACAGUUGUCAAAUCGCGCAUUUUCAGGCAUCACGUCAGAAGAUCGUACAAUCAUCACUCCGGAUUUUUCUCUCUCAUGGUAAUCGUAUAAAGAGGUUUCUCACCUUACUUUUACACCCUUACCACUUACAAAAUCCUCUCGAGCCUUAUACGGCGAUUUCUCUCUAAUGUUCAUCUUCUUCACUUCAAGCUUCAUCAAUGGCAGACUCAUCUACAGUUCAUGAACAAAGCGCACAGUCCUCGAUUCUCACCAUCAAGCCAAAUCAAAACCUGAUCAUCGAACUCUCUCCUUUCCAGUAUGAUCCUUACGUGCUUCAAGUGGUUGAAUGCCUCAAAUAUUCACAACUUGUGGUUGCGCUAACCAAGGUGGAAUCUGUCCCGAUGUCCCUACUUUCUCAAGUCUAUUCAACGGCGGUAUACGAUAAAGCCAAGGAGAGGAUUUUUUUUGAGAUAUUCAAUCAAAAGACGUCGAUUUCAAAGGCUAGGUUUUGUUUGUUGCUAAGGUUAAUCAUCGACGACUCCAUGAUCAACCCAGAUUCGAUCACCACGACUCCAUUAUUUACCUUGUUUUAUGAUAUGGGGUACACUGAAGUUCUUACCACAGUGACGAAAUUCAAGAAGUCAUUCCUUCCUCCACAGUGGAAUGGUUUUUUUACUCUCCUUUCAAGGGUUUAUCGGAGAGGGUUGCAGGGUCUGAUGGGGCAAGCAAGGCAUUCAUGACUCUACUCUAUGGUCUAUACUAUGGGGUCAACAUGGACUACAUAUAUAUUCUCUGGACUCAACUGGUUCAAAGCCUCAGCUUAGUUUCUCGCUCUUCUGAAAUCUCAUGUGGUAGGUUUUGGACCCUAGUUACUCAGUGGGCAAUGGAGAAGUUCCAAAUUCCAAUAAUGGCAGACUCGUUGAUGUCGUCAAUCGCUACUUUUCACUUGACAAAAAUUAUUGUCUCUGAUCCAACAAAGUUUCUGUUCAUUGGUUUGGUUCCUGAAUCCAUGUACAGGUGUGUUUCUGGGGAAAGCAAGUUAAUGAAUGAAUACAAGAAAUUUCCUCCUACGGGACCGUGGCAGCUCAGUCGUAAAAUGCACAGCUCACCGGAUGCUGCUGAUAAACCAGCGAAAUGAGGGAAGAAGGCUGAACAAAAAAGCGAGAGGGACAGACCCUAAAAGUUGCUAUGCCUAAAAAGCGAAAGUCUGAACAGGCAGCUUCUUCUACUCCUAAGAAGCGAAAGAUCAACAAGAAGGGGCACAAGCCUAAGGCUCCCUCUUCAAGUGAUUCAAAAUAUGUUCCAUUUGACCAACAACCCAAACCAGAGUCAAGCGAUGAUGAAGCUUCUCAACAUGAGAGUUCGUUCCGAGGUAAUUCACCUUCACCUUCACCGACUCAUCAAGGUAACCGAACCUCACCAACCUCCUUCCUCUCCUGCUCACUCUGUUCCUAUAACAAUCGCCCCGUGCCCUCAUCCCAUCUCCUCUUCAAUUACAACUUCUACGCCAAUCCCAACCCAUUUAUUCACCGAAGUUACUAUCACCACUACUUCUACAAUCAAACCUCAAGUUCGUGUCAAUGUAUCUGAUGCGGGGGCACCUACUUCAGGAAUCCACACACCCAUUACCUCUAAACCUCUAUCUCCACCUCCCUAACAUGAAUCUGACACCGUUCUUGGCGGAGAGGAUAUGGAGUUUGAUUCCUUUUACUAUAGCCCCUACAGAGUUCAGAGCGAUGAUGAUGAUGAUGCUCCUGUAAUGAAGAUGAAUUUAAGGGAUCUUAAUGAAAAGCUUGACAAGUUGCUUAUUUCUUCCUCUUCCACUCCCAACAAGAGAUACUCUGAGGCUGCUAUCAAGACUAUGUUGGAAACUUUUGUAAAGGAGCAUGAUUCCUCCAUUUUCAACACUGCCAAAGCCAUUGAACCUGCCACCUCCUCAUGUCAGACCAUUUCCGUUGAGUAAUCAACAAAAGAUUGCAAGCAAGCGACCGAAAAUGUCGAAAAACUAAUUUCUGAUGCUAAUGUUUUUCUAGAUUCUCUUCAGGCUGCUGCUCAAAAGAAUGCUCAAACAGUUAAUUCCUCUAAUGGCAAUCUCACCAACUCGCUUCAAGCUGAGAAGAAGCACUUUGAAGAGGCACGCCAAAACAUCAAGUCUCACUACAUCGAGCUUCAAACAUCAAUCCAUGCCCAUCUUGAUAAACUCUAGGCUGAUCUUGCCUUGGAAAACAAAGUCAUGGAUGAACUUGCUCUCAAAACCACAAAGGUUAAGACUCAGGCCUUGAAGCUUACUCAGGCGAACAAGGAAAUUGAUGAUCUCAAGUCUGAGCGAGCUGUUAUCAAAAGUUGCGUUGGUGAUGUGCACUCUCUUCUCUUGACAUGUUGAGCCAUAUUGAAAUUGUUCAGGAGACUCUUCUCCCUCCGAAACAAGGGGGAGAAGAAGGUCAGGGUCAACCACAACAACCUCCAACAAGCAAACCUUCUUCACAACCAAAAGUCACCACUAAACCGAAGGGUAAUGAAGCUUCGGGUUCUAUUGUGAAGGACAAAGGCAAAAAGAUUAUCGGUGAUAAUGAUGAGGAAGAAACUAAAGAAAAUGCUCUUAAAAGAAAGCAAAAUGACAGAUAGCUUGAAGAAAAGCUUUGCAUCACAGAAGAAGAAGCAGAGAGGGAAAGGAAACAAAAAGAAGUUAACGAUGCAUUGAAACGUAGAAAAUCUCUAUUUCCUCUAUGGUCAUUGGUGAAACUUUUAAAAGAAGCAAUUGAGUCUCCCAACACUCAUUGGCUCGAACUGGUCCUUUCGUUUGAUCAUGAGAAUUCUAGAGACUCUCAGUUCGACAUGCCAAUCACCCAAAAGGCGUUUGUAUAUCAUUGCUUUAAGCCAACCGUUGUUAUCCCCUCUCCUGACCCACAGGUUGAUAGAGAACUUAUUGAAUACUAUCUCGCUUUCUCUCAACCACAAUACUUGACUUGGAGCGGACAAAAGAUCACAACAGUCAAGGUAUUGAAACCAACUUCAACAGGGAAGUUGAUAAAUAUGAAGUUUAAGGUGACUCGAGGCUCAGACACCUUGGUUCAUAUGAUCUCUCUCGCUGAUUUGCCAAACUUAAACCCACAUGAUUGGAUCCUCCUGAACAACAUUAUACUAACUGAGCCAAUUCAGUAUGAGCCUAUCAUAGAUCACAUCAAGCGAAUGUUAGUGUCUUACAUUCUUGAAGUUUCCAGGAUGGAUUAAGAGUUCGCCUCUACCUUAAGGAAGAAGCCUACAAUCAAACCAAUUGGGAAGGCAAGCGACGUCAACAUGAUGUUGAUGGGUAAGAUCGACCCGAAGUAUCACACUAUCAUGUUCACCAGAGCCGAAGGCCAAAACUGCUUGUUCGCUCUUGAAGGAAAACACCUGUUCUCCACUUCUUAUCUGGAGCACAUUCUUGACAUCAUUUACAGGUGUAAUCUAAAUAGUGAAGCUGAUAAGAUGAUUUUUUCGGAUAUGCUUCGGUGGUAUGUUGACUUCCGUCAAACUCUUCUCGCUAUCAUAUCGAAGCUAUUCAAGGCUGUGAAGAUAUCCACCCUCACUCAACCGAAAUGAUCUCUCACCUUAAUUGACGCAAAUGGGGAGAUUAUUGAGUCUAUGGGUUGUGUCAUUGGGUUUAAUAGCUUAGUCCAAUUGUAUCACGGUUUGGUCCUGUCCAUCCAUGUUUUUGAUAGUAGGGGUUAGUAUUUAUGGUGCAUGCAUGCAUCGUGUUUGGUACGCUUUAUAAUUAUUAUAUCUUUCGUUGUACUGUAACCCUAGCACACCUCUACGGCAAAAGUUCUUAGUCAAGCUCUUCUGAGGUGUUGCAGUUUUAAUCAUUCAACACUUGUUUGAUUCAUCGUGUAUUCAUACUAUUGUUUACUUUCUGAUUUACUUGUUAAGAAUCUAAACGAUCUUAAUAUAGUUUUCAACUCAUCAAUUUACAUUUACAAUCGACAUAUAGUAUACCGAUUCUUAUAGCAAGGAUCUCACACUCCCUGGAACUUCUCAAUUCACAUUUUCACUUACACGCAUGCCAUCCUUUGACUUAAUAACUGCUCAUUUAGGAGUAAUAACUUUACUCCUCUUUACACCCUUCCAUUCUAUAUGCUCUUGGCAAAGCAUCACGAGUAUUAUCACAUUCCAAUCUACUUUCUACUAAGUACCACGUAUUGGUACUAUUUGAACCGUGCCAUGGGUCACUCCCAUGUUACGUCACAUUGUGGUGGCUCAAAACGUAAUAUCUCCUUUACUCGCUCCACUUAAUGACGUCAUGGUAUUAUUUUCAUCAUGUCGUGACUCAUCACAUCAUGAUUUCAAUCUCAUCAAGUCAUGAUUUCUACAACUUCAACUAUAACAUUCUACUAUAUGACCACAUCGUGGUCACUCCUCGUCCACAUCGUGGUUAAGAAAGUACAUUGAUAUUUAUUUCUCAACUAUAUAAUACACCUCUAAUCAUCAUGUCGCACAUUUUGCUGAAGUUUUAUGCUUAUCCACGCUACGAAAUCUCACAACAAGUGUCACACUGCCACAACAUCACGUACUACAAUAACUUUCUGCACCACUCACAUCAUAACAUCCACAUGUACCAUAACAUUCAUCACGCUAUACAACAUAUAAUACACUAUAAUUCACACCACGCCACGUAUCGCAACACCCACUACAACAUGCACUACACAUGUAUCACACCUUGCACCAUAACUGUCUCUAUCAUGUGCGUACAACAUUAUUUUUAGCGAACUAUAUAUACUAAUAUCAAAAAUCCCUAUUUAUUCAAUAGCUGGCUAACUUAUAUCUACCAGACAAAAUCAAAUAACAUUUUCUAACUGCCAGUUUAAGUUUAGGCAUUUACUAUAUGAACCUAAUUCACUUAAACCACAACUCUGAUACCAACUUAUAAUGCCCAGGUUUUCACUCCAGGUAAACCCCAUGAAUAAACUUUUUAUAAAAUAACUUUUUAAAUAUUUUGGUGUACACUGGUACUCUAGAGCAGAAGAAGCUAUCACUAGGGAUCAUCCUAGCCACAAGUACAGGAUCCGAGCCGCAUGCUACUACAUCUAACCUGUAAAACAGCCACAAAAAAACACAGUAAGCCUCAUGGGUUAGGAAAUAACAACUACAAUAAUGUUAGGGCCAAGAUCCUCAACCCCAUUUAGGAUCCCUAGUCUUCAAGAACUCUUAGGAUCCCAAACAUAUAUUAGGAUCCCAAACAUAUAUUAGGAUCCUGAUCAUUGUCAUUAUUAUAAUUUCCUAAUAUUUUUAACGAAUAUAUUUCUUGCUUAUUAUCCACAUGUGCAGAAAUAGUCAACAUUUGACUCAUUCUCAAUAAGAAAUUGCUCCAAUAAGGAUUAAGACCCUUAAAUACCAAGUUAAAGAACAUGAAAAUACCAAUUCAGCAGGAUCCCGGAAAUAUUGGACUUUUAGUUACAUAAACUAAACUAUAUAUACACCGUUAAAACACACACAACGGGGACAAUUCUCUGACACUUUACUCAUCUAGACUCACUUUAUCAUUUGUAAUUGUAUUAUCAAGCUCAUCCCUGUAAUUUACGUUCAACUCAAUAAGAUCAUAUAAGACAGGUGAUCAUUAUCACCUCCCAAGGUUUAUGCCAUAGACCCUAAAAAGGAUCAAAGGCUUUCCUUGUAAACCACCUAUUUUAUUUUGAUUUCUAUUCCAUAUUCACAUUAGUAACAACACCAUGACCUCUCGUGCAAUUUGGUUGAUAUCCUUUUGAUCGAUUUUGACCAAAACAAUUUGGCACCCACCGUGGGGCCGUGGUGUUCAUAAUUCUCGAAAAAUCACGUCUAAACAAUCAACCUCAUAUUCUUCCUCUAUUCCACCCAUUUAUUCUUAAAAAAUUACACCACCUCCAUGUGGACCUCGUUUUCAAAAGAAAACUUAUGAUACCUCUAAAAAGAACACUUCUCCGAUCAUCAUACAUGUAAAUCUAGGAUCCCUGGGAUUCCAGUAUCCUCCCAUUUUGAUCUCUAACUGCGAAGUCUUCUCCAUGAUGAAGGCGUUGACACAAUAGGUGGCUUAGCAUCAGGAGGAAAAAAGAAAGCUACUUAAAGAAGUGGAAAAGAUAAGGGCGGAUAUCCAUAAAUCCCAAGAGGCAACACCAUCAAUAUUGUAAUUCGUGAUCCUGAACUUCGAUAACACAUGAUCUUUAGGGAAACAGCCAAAGACUAUAGCCCCAAAAUCCUCUGCUAUUUUAACUUAGGGUAUAAAACCAAUCAAUAAAUCUCCUAUGAUCUAGGAUAUUGAUGAAACUUUCACUACUCCUCAUAACAAAAAUGAUGCUAACUUCUUGGACAAUAAUACUCUUACUAACUCUAUGAACCUUGAUACAAGAAUAAGUCCGGUCAUGGCUAAAGAGCUUCAUCGACUCAUAAAGAUGGUCUUAAUCGUGCCAAGAAUGGUCUAACCUAUACCAGAAGUAUCCCCCACCAGUCAUAGUAUCUCAUGAUUUAUCCCCUCGAUAGUUGACACUGAAGUUCCAAAGUGCUUCCAAACUCCCAGUAUGAAGCCUUACAAUGGUACCACGGAUCCUGAAGAACACAUAGCACAAUAUAGAGAGAUAACGGAGAUCAAUCAUAGUCCCCGAAACAUAAAGGAGGUCUGUUUAUGAAAAAUCUUUAGAUCGACUCUUACACGAUCUGCCUUAAUAUGGCUUUUUAAUGUUCCUCCUUACUCUAUUACUCAAUUUUCACAUUUAAUCAAUAUUUUAACAAUCAAUUUUUUUGUAGCAGAACAUUAGAAAAUAUCACUAGUGAUCUUUAUCGGGUAUUCUAGAAUCCUAAGGACUGCCUUAAGGACUUUGUGAAUAGGUUUCGCAAGUAAGCUUUUAGUAUCCCCAACAUCGAUAUGGGAACUACCGUAGAAGCCUUCAAAAUGGGUCUAAAGGAUUCCCCUUUCUAUGAAGACCUUGUAAUGACUCCAUGCAAAAGGAUAGACGAGGUCAGAAGCAGAGCGCUAAGGUUCAUCUAGCUGGAAGAGGAAAAGGAGAUCUGGAAGAGGAGCAACCCUCCAAACUCAUACGAUAAACCCAACAUAAAGACCAACUCCUCAGUCCAAAGAUCUUACAAGUCAAAAACAUAUUCCAAACCUGAUCAUCAUAGGGUUAAUGCCCUUGAAGAUGAAGGAGAGGAAGAUGAAUUUCCUAAGACCACUAACUACUGUUUUUAUGUGGAUGUUUCAGGUGUAAUCUAUGUUAUGCAGGAUUUUGGUGAUAAAGCAAGAUGGCUAAGGAAUGGAGAAAAGUCCAUCGACUAGAAGGAUAAGUCCAAAUGGUGUGCAUGCCAUGAAGACUUUGUCCGCAGUAAAAAAGAUUGCAUAGCCCUCAAGAAGGAGAUCAACCACCUCCAAAGAAAAGGAUACCUCAUAGAGAUCCUAAGCAGAAGAAAAGAAAGAUCCAGAAAAAAGGAUUAGGAUCCUCCUAAGAUCCUAGAAAAACUAGGAUAUAGAAAAAAUAGGAUCCCCUCCUGCGGACGCCAAGGUAAUCAAUGUAAUCUCUAAGGGUUCUAACAUUUGUGGAACUUCUUUUUUGCAGCAAAAAGGAAUGCCAAGGUAUCUAAGUAGAGAAAGAAGAAAAAUCCCAGAAGAAUACGUCGAUCAAAAAUAGGAAGGAGUUAACCUUCAACGAAACAAAUAGAGAAGAUAUCCAAGAUCCCCACCAUGACGGAUUGGUGAUUACUUGAUGGGUUUGAGCCAUAAGAACAUUCCUAUGUGCACAUACAAACCCUAAUGCUUGGAUCUAGGUUUCUCUAAUUGAAAAUGCAUUGUAUCCAUGACUUUUGAACAUAAGAACAUUCGGUACUCGGACUUUGAGUGUUACUCAACUUGGCAUUACUUUGUAUCAGUAAGUCUCCCUUCUUUGAGUUUUCCUUACUAAAACAUUUCAGUAGUUUAUCUAAGUAAGUGUUCUGACUAAGUCCUAUUAGUCUCUUACUUCGUUCUCUCACUAUCCUUAUUACUAGAAUACAGGAAGCCUCUCCGAGGUCCUUCAUAGCGAAGCACUUCCCGAGCCAAGACUUUACCUCCUACAGUGUCGGGAUGUCGUUUCCUAUGACUAGUAUGUCAUCGAUAUACAGAACGAGGAAGCUUACUAUACUCCCACUGGCUUUGAUAUAUACACUUGAUUCAUCUUGGCUUCGUACAAAUCCAAACUCUUUGACUUUCUCAUCGAAGAAAAGAUUCGAUCUGCGAGACGCUUGCUUAAGUUCAUAAAUGGACUUCUCAAGCUUAAACACUCUAUUCGGAUGCUUCGGAUCCACAAACCCCUCUGGCUGAGCCAUGUAAACAUCCUCAGCCAACUUUCCGUUAAGGAAAGUGGUCUUGACAUCCAUUUGCCAAAUCUCAUAAUCAUGAAAUGUGGCAAUAGCUAGCAUCACUCUAAUAGACUUUAUUUUCGCAACUGGUGAGAAGGUCUCAUCAUAGUCAACUCUGGGAGUUUGAGUAAAGCCCUUCGCAACCAAUCGCACCUUAUAUGUGUGUAUGUUUCCAUCCACGUCGGUCUUCUUCUUCGAGAUCCAUUUGCACCCAACGAUCUUACAUCCGGGCAUAUUAUCAACCAAAUUCCAAACUUGGUUGUCAUACAUGGAUUGGAUCUCGCUAUCCAUUGCCUCCUUCCAUUUUGUAGAAUUCGGGCCUGCCAUGGCUUCCUUAUAGCUAUUAGGUUCAUUUAAAUUUAUUAGUGUACCAUCACUAAUAUACGUGUCCCCUUCGGUAGUAAUAUGAAAACCAUAAAACUGGGGUUGAACUCUAACUCUUUCGGAAAGUCUAAGAGGUAAGGACUCGUCAAUCGGUUCAACCGGAGUUUCCUCCUCGGGUUGAGCGCCAACAGUAGAGGUUCCUUCAUCAAUAGAUUCUUGAAUCUCUUCAAGCUUGAUUUGCCUCCCACUCUCUCCUUGGCUUAUGAGUUAUGUUCUUGGAAAACUCCUCUCCUCGCAACGAAGACAACAUUAUCCUUCGGUCUAUAGAAGAGAUAUCCAAAGGAUUUCUGCGGGUAGCCGAUGAAAAUACAUCGCUCACUAUGAGGUUUGAUCUUGUCAUGAGUAUCUCGUCUUACGAAAGCCUCACAACGCCAAACCUUGAUAUGUGCUAACGAGGGAUCUUUCCUUGUCCACAUCUCGUGAGGUGUUUUGGCAACCUUCUUAGUAGGGACUCGGUUAAGGAUAUGGGCAGCAUUCUCUAAGGCAUACCCCCAGAAUGAGAUAGGUAGUGAAGCACGACUCAUCAUAGAGCGGACCAUGUCUAACAAGGUUCGAUUAUGCCUUUCUGCCACACCAUUCAACUGUGGUGUCCUAGGUGGCGUCAAUUGUGAAACUAUUCCACACUCUUUGAGAUAGUCGUGGAAUUCAAGACUUAGGUACUCUCCUCCUCGAUCGGAUUGAAGCAUCUUGAUUUUCCUGCCCAAUUGAUUCUCCACUUCAUUCUUGAACUCUUUGAACUUUUCAAACGUUUCUGACUUUUGCUUGAUUAAGUAGAUAUACCCAUAUCUACUAUAGUCAUCGGUAAAAGUCACAUAGAAGCGGUUCCCAUCCUUCGUGGUUGAUCUAAAGGGUCCACAUACAUCGGUAUGUAUGAGGUCUAAUAAACCCUCACCCCUUUCACAUGUGCUAGUGAAGGGUGACUUGGUCAUCUUUCCAAGUAAACA
Molecule: long non-coding RNA, 28659 nt
Filed under: Lactuca sativa (garden lettuce)
Lineage: Eukaryota; Viridiplantae; Streptophyta; Magnoliopsida; Asterales; Asteraceae
Description: long non-coding RNA (LSAT_LNC007504)
Source: RNAcentral